RNAcentral lists this ribosomal RNA (464 nucleotides) under uncultured Klebsiella sp. RNAcentral describes it as "bacterial SSU rRNA". It matches the Rfam family "Bacterial small subunit ribosomal RNA", at positions 338 to 795 of the family's 1533-position model. The record is from RNAcentral. Lineage: Bacteria; Pseudomonadati; Pseudomonadota; Gammaproteobacteria; Enterobacterales; Enterobacteriaceae.
CCUACGGGGGGCUGCAGUGGGGAAUAUUGCACAAUGGGCGCAAGCCUGAUGCAGCCAUGCCGCGUGUGUGAAGAAGGCCUUCGGGUUGUAAAGCACUUUCAGCGGGGAGGAAGGCGGUGAGGUUAAUAACCUCAUCGAUUGACGUUACCCGCAGAAGAAGCACCGGCUAACUCCGUGCCAGCAGCCGCGGUAAUACGGAGGGUGCAAGCGUUAAUCGGAAUUACUGGGCGUAAAGCGCACGCAGGCGGUCUGUCAAGUCCGAUGUGAAAUCCCCGGGCUCAACCUGGGAACUGCAUUCGAAACUGGCAGGCUAGAGUCUUGUAGAGGGGGGUAGAAUUCCAGGUGUAGCGGUGAAAUGCGUAGAGAUCUGGAGGAAUACCGGUGGCAAAGGCGGCCCCCUGGACAAAGACUGACGCUCAGGUGCGAAAGCGUGGGGAGCAAACAGGAUUAAUACCCCGGUAGUC